Taeniopygia guttata (zebra finch) is the source of this 4939-nucleotide non-coding RNA. The record is from RefSeq and is a predicted model, not a curated record. NCBI's taxonomy places the organism in Eukaryota, Metazoa, Chordata, Aves, Passeriformes, Estrildidae.
UCUUCUCUUUGGUUGUCCCACACUGAGAAGCAAGAUGUAUUCAUUUGCCAUCUGUAUGGCAGUUUGUUGCCGUGCGAGACCGGCCUGAGCGGGCGCCGGCGGAGCGCGGGGGGAGGAGGGGGAGAGGCAAACGCCGCUUUCCCCUUACGCUCUGCGAGUUCAGCUUCACCCCGGGGACAGACGGAUCGCGACACGGGGCUCAGGUGUACUCUGCGCAUGUCCUUCCUGUUGCUAGAGGGUCUUUUUCUGCCUCCUGGUGGUCGUCUGGACGAAGGCUGGUGAUCUUCCUCUUCUAGCCCCUUCAUGGCCUUUCCUUAUUUGGUGAGUUUCCUACUUCUCCCUGGAACUUAAGACACCAGUUCACAACCAAGCAAAUUAAGCAAACAUGUCACAAGCAGUUCUUUCUUAACCGUCAUUCCCUUUAUCUACACAGCAAACAUGUCACAAGCAGUUCUUUCUUAACCACUAUUUCCUUUAUCUACACAACGAACUUGGUCGGGCACAUCCUGGUUCAGUGAACAAAUUUGACCAUUUAUUUAUCUCAAUUCCCCCCUUUUUCUAUUUAUCAUUUUGUUCACUGAAUCUCUGCAGCUCUUGUUGACUCAAUAUUAAGGUUUCAUCUAUUUCUUCUACUGGUUCAUAUUUUGCCCUUACAAGCAUUAAAUGUGCUGCUUCUAAGCAUCCUUUCACUAUGUCUAUAAGUUUAUUAAAUAUACAUGGCCCAAAAGUUAAUCCUAACACUACAAGCAAUAACAGUCCAGCUAUAGUUGAUAACAAAGUAGUCAACCAAGGAGCAUGAUUGAACCAUGAUUUAUACCAGCUUUGUUGGGCUUCCCUUUCACAUUUUCUCUGUUCUAUUCUUUUUCUUAACUCUGUCAUUGCAUCUAUUACAACUCCUGUAUGAUCUGCAUAUGCACAGCAUUCUUCUUUUAAUGCCACACACAAUCCUCCUUGUUGGAGUAGCAAUAAGUCCAAUCCUCUCCUGUUUUGCAAUACCACUUCAGACAAGGACCUGAGUGAUUUCAUUAAUCCAUCAAUAGCUUGCUCAAUCUUACUUAAAUCCUUGUCUACUGAAGGCCUGAGAGCUUUGAACUCUUUUUGUUAGUUUGCUAGAGAAGCCACCCCAGUUCCUGCUCCUAUCCCACCGAUGGUUAGGAGAGUUGCAAUAGUCAGCGCAGUAAGGGGUUCUCUCUUUGCUAUAUGAUGCUCUGGUAUAGUGUAUUGAUCAUACACAUAGCCAAUCAGCAGGUCUCCUCAAAUCUUCUAAAGUUCCUAUUACCCCGCAAAGAUGUUCUUUUUGCGUUGGGAUUUUUCCUAUAUAUCUCCCUUUCCCUGUUACCUGAGACAAGGUGAGUCCCAGUGUUGUCUCCUUACCCUUUUUCCAGAGGCACUGAUCUGGAUUAGUUUCAUUUACUCUUUUGGGCUCUGCAGUGAUCCCUAUGGCUUCAUAAAAUGGUGGUCUUAAAUUGUAACACAGCCAACAGUUAAUUUUGGGCUGGUUUUAUUUAAAACCCCAUAACUUGCUUUCAUAACCUUCCAGAGUGUAUUAUCCUCUUGGGGUUUUUCCUGUGGGGGGUUAUUGAUUUGAGUUCCAUUGUUACUUUGACUCUCUUCUUCUCCUUUUAGGGAAGGGGGAAUAUCUCCCCCUAAUAAUGCAGGGUUAGGUCCUACGGGUUCUGAUAAUGCAGGGUUAGGUCCUACAGGUUCUGAUUCGGACACUGCUUCCUUUUUAAUUAAAAUGUGUCCCCCACGAUCUGUCCCUGGCUCCCAUAAUCUAACUCCCCAAGUCUUCCCUGUCAACCAUCCGGGAUCCUCAGGUUUGGUUAUGUAUAUAUAUAUUCCCUCACAAUUCCCAAAGUAUUCGCCUAGUAUGCCCCCCCGCGACCAUGUUGGGCAGGCGUUCACCCAGGUGGUCUCCAUUUCACUCGCAGGUAAGGGUCCUCCCUCUCCGGUUUCCAAUCAGAGGCUAUAGUUUCACAUCCCCAGUAUGCACAAUAAUACUGUCUGGGAGAAUUGCAAUACCCUUUUCCUGGAUUCAAGCUAGGACAGAGAUAAAACCCCAAGUAAUUUAAACAGGGAUCCAUUACUAUGAGAUCACAAAGGGCACAUUUGAAACCCGGAGCCCCUGAGGUAAUUACUAUCUGUGCAACUUGUUGAUCUUCUAAUUUCAUUAAGGUCCAUUUAAAAGGUUCAUGAGUUGUUACUUCUGCAGUAUUGCAAGAUACACAAAGGGAAAUCACAAACAGUAAGCAAAUGGCAUGUGGGGUCUGGUUUCUCACACUGCAACAAUUAUACCCUUUUGAUUUAUCUUUCCCUAUUAGCUGGUUACCACCAAAGGAUCUUUGAGCCCAAAAAUCAUUCUUGCCUUUGCUGCUACCAGUCUUGGGGUAGUUCUGCAAAUAUUGCUUGCAUAUUCUAUCCUGAGGGCUCCUUCCUCCACAGCUGUUUACUUCUCUGCCUUGCCCCGUCGACUCGGGUGCUUCGAGCCACGGGGUGUACCAUCUUCUUGGCAGCAAGAGUGGUCUUCAGGAGGGGACUUAUACCCUCUAGUGGCCUGUCUUUUGCAAUACGAGCACCAGUUCUGGUCCUUCACCUCUGGUGCUGUACAACUAACCCCUUUUAGGUCUUUCCUGCAAAGGCCUUCUGUGAUCUCUACCACAAAUGGGCUCGGCUCAUUUAUAUGGUAAUAGUAAUAGCCUGGGUGGACACCCUUUGAGAGAAUUCUCCCACCACUCCUUAGAUUCCAAUUGGAUUUCUCCACUAGUUACCUUACAAGUUAAUACCCAAUUUGUAAUUCUCUUUGUAUCUUCCAACAAGAAUUACAAAUUCCUCUUGGGGGAUACCCUCUGUUGCAAUGUGACCACCACCUUUCCCUACACACCUUACAAUUAUAUCAUACAAAAGGAUAACAAUUACAAUUUUGAUUCUUGCAUUCUACUUUAACACUUGAAUUACUAAUUAAUCCAUUGUCUAAAUAAGUCUGAUGUGUAUUCAAUCUGAUAAGAGUUCCUUAAUUCUUCUGUAGUUUUAGUUUCAGGUCCCCCUGGAGGACUGGUUACUUGCCACACAGUGUUACAGUGUUGUUAACUGGUCCUUUUACUCGGCUGGCAUGUGUCCAUCCUUCUUCUGUGGUCCGAACUGCAGUUUCUUCAUACUUGAGGAGUUUAGAAUCUGUAAUCCACUUAUAAGCUUUUUAUUGUAAGAUUCCUCUAAUAUUAUGUGGAGAUAACACUUUUAGUUUUCCAUUAAACGUUAUUUUAUGAGCUUCUUUUACCAAAAGGGCGGCAGCUACUAUCGCUUGUAAGCAUGUUGGCCACCCUCUACUCACUAGGUCUAACAAUUUAGAGAGAUAUGCCACAGGUUUCUUUUUGUCCGCCCAUUCUUGUGUUAAAACUCCACAAGCAGUUCCCCCUUCUGUAUUAAUAAACAAAUAAAAGGGUCUAUUUAAAUCAUAAAGAAAUUUGACCUUUUGACUAUAAUUUUCAAUCCAUUGCCUACAAUAUCCAAUUAAACUUAAUAAUUGGUGCACCUGCCAUUUAUUUUUAGGGGGUGGAAUUGAGAGGAUUCCUUUUACUCUCUCGGGGUCAAUCCUUUUUACUCCCCUGCUUAAGUAAUGUCCCAAGUAUUUUACUUCCUUUUCUACAAACUGUAGUUUAGAUUUAGAUACUUUCAGUCCCUUUAAGUUUAAAAGGUUUAGUAAUUUAAUACUUUCCUGUCUUACUGCCUCUUCCUCUUUUCUAGCAAUUAGUAAAUCAUCCACAUAUUGAAUUAGGGUGACAUACAGGGCUCUAAAAGCCCUUUUUCCAGUAACCUAUCUAUUUCAGGCUUUAAUCCUAGUUUUCUUUCUCUAGGAAUAGGAUGUUGCUUUAUUCUUACAGGAUUGCCAGGAUUAUUUAUUUCUACUGAAAAAGGUUUGAUUUACAAUUUGCCUACUGUUUCUGGGGUAUACCUCAGGGUUAAUUUUCUUCUCAUCCUCUAUCCUUAAGGGACAGAGUCUUAUUUGUAGUUCUUUAAUUACAACUUCCAAACUAAUACCCAAUUCUAUUAUCAAAUCUCUUCCCAGCAGGUUAUAUUCUGCUUCAGGUAGCAGUAGCAAAGAACCUAUGCUAAAUUUCGAAUCGGUUUUAAGCAUUAUUUUUUAAUUACUGGCACCUCAAAGGGUUCCCCUUUAGCCCCUAUUACAUGUACAGUUUCAGAUUACUUCUUACAUCCCAAAGGUAAUCUCUGUACUGUGGAUCGUUCUGCACCUGUAUCAAUUAAAAACUCUAAUUCUUGUUGCUGGGGUCCUACUUUAAAUUUUACCAAGGGCUCCUUAUGGUGUUUUUCCCCCAGCAAAUAGAGCCCCUGACACACCUAAUCAUCUUUAAAAGCUCUUCCAUCUGCCAUUCGCUGUCGGCAUGCCCUUUUCAUAUGUCCUUUCUUGCCACAAUAGAAACAGGUAAUUUCCUCAGGAUUUCUUUCCCUUCUUUCCUCUGAACCGUAUUUCUGACUUUCUUUUUGUCCAAUCUCCCCUGCUUGAGGGUUCAGUUUAGGUCCCUUCUCACACAACCACAGCCAUAAUUUUGGCCUGCCUCCCUUCUAAUAUAAACCUUCUGUGCUUCCCGCAAAAGUUCCUCCAAUCCCCAAAUCUGCCAUCCAUCCAAUUUCUCCAACUUUCUUCUUAUAUCCACCCAUUAAUUGACCACAAACUGCAUUCUCAGCAGUGCUUCCCCUUCCUGAGUUUCAAGAUCCACUCCUGAGUACAAACGGAAGGCUUUCCUUAAUCUCUCUAACCAUUCUGUAGGGUCUUCCUCUUUUUUUCUGUUGCAAUCUGAAAGCCUUUUGCACAUUUUGCCCUCGCGGAACUGAUUGUUUAAUCCCCUGUUAUGGGUAAUAAACAUAAUUUGCGCCAUUCCUUGUAUGGAAUAUAUAAUGUUAAAUACUUGUUAGAUUAUACCUC